UUGUGUGCAUUUCAAUUUUGAAAUUUCUACAUAUUUUUGUAUGUCCAUACAUGAAAGCUUUUUGUUGAAAGCUCCAGCUUCAUUCAAUUCGUUGAAGCCAAUAAAACGAAUGUGUGCCGUGUCUCGUACAAAUUAAAUUAUAAGGGGUUUUCUAAUAAGAGUUGUUCUUUUAACUAGCGUGAUUUUCCGGUAGAUGUCACACCUUUGAUGCUGUACUUUUUUUUUAAUUUGAUAAGCAAAAACAAAAUGGAACGAUGGGAGCUUUAACAGUGCAUUGAAAUUAUUAAAAUUUACUAUAAAAGUGGAGUAAGCCUGGCUGAGAAGAUUCGUGAAGCACCUCAUCGGAUUGAAAUACAGAAAUUGGUGAAAAAAAUCGAGCAGCUUGGACAAGUCAGUGUUGUGAAGAAUAAAACACGUGCUAAUCACUCAAGGACAACUGAGAAUAUUGCCAUGCAGGGUGUUGGAAAAAACCCAGGCUUGCCAAUUUUUUUUUUUUUAACUCGGCAUUCCACAAACGUUUUGAGUCUCAAAACUUAUAAAGUUCAGCUAACACAACACCUUUCACCGAAGCAAUAAACAUGGAUUUUACAAGUCUAUGUGUAAUAGGUUCAUUAUGAUUCAUGUUGCCGCAACAGCAACAAAGAAGAAGGAGAUUCAAGAUUCAAGCAAUUAGGGUAGUGCAUAUUUCGGCCGCUUUAAGAACUUAAAAUUCGAUGGACUUAUUUUUUAGAAAGAUUUAUCUUGGAGUACCACCAAACCUUAAUCGACCAGUGUGAUUAAAAUAAUCUAAAUAUAUGCGGCCUAAGCCACCGAA
This is a long non-coding RNA of Ceratitis capitata (Mediterranean fruit fly), 814 nucleotides long. RefSeq lists it as uncharacterized. The record is from RefSeq and is a predicted model, not a curated record. NCBI's taxonomy places the organism in Eukaryota, Metazoa, Arthropoda, Insecta, Diptera, Tephritidae. The transcript has 2 exons.